Molecule: non-coding RNA, 222 nt
Organism: Caenorhabditis elegans
Lineage: Eukaryota; Metazoa; Nematoda; Chromadorea; Rhabditida; Rhabditidae
Source: Ensembl
ACAAGUCGUUAGGAAAUGCAGGAGGAUGAAAAUGACAUGAGUGAGGAAGAUGUGCUUUUUUAGAAUGUUUUUUUGUAUUUUUAAAAUUAAAUUCGGAAAAGCUAAGAUUGUAGCGAAAAAUCCGGUAGUUUUUAGUUUUGUAAUCAAAAAUUAAAUUAUUUCUCGGGAAAAGCUUUGAAUUUUAAUGAUUUUAAGGUAAAACUAUUGUUUUUUCGGUUGUAA